Molecule: signal recognition particle RNA, 90 nt
Filed under: Polyangiaceae bacterium
Lineage: Bacteria; Pseudomonadati; Myxococcota; Polyangiales; Polyangiaceae
Description: signal recognition particle sRNA small type
Rfam family: Bacterial small signal recognition particle RNA
About the family: The signal recognition particle (SRP) is a universally conserved ribonucleoprotein involved in the co-translational targeting of proteins to membranes.
Source: RNAcentral
CUCGCGGCCCGCCAACAGCGCACCUCGAACCCCGCCAGGCCCGGAAGGGAGCAACGGUAGAGGAAAGCGGGUGUGGUGGGCCACUUUGCU